RNAcentral lists this long non-coding RNA (1006 nucleotides) under Parus major (Great Tit). Its description in RNAcentral is "lncRNA (ENSPMJG00000003379.1)". Lineage: Eukaryota; Metazoa; Chordata; Aves; Passeriformes; Paridae. The record is from RNAcentral.
GCGGGUGACGUGGAAGCUGGGCUUGAAUGUGAAUGAACUGUGGCUUGAAUGACAGACAGGGCGGCGACGGCGGCACCCGGCUACAGUGGAGGGCCAGGUUCUGUCACUCCCGUAGGCCCCAGAAUGCUCCCGCCGGAUGGCUGGUAGGGCAAGACAGACAUGUGCUGUCCCCUUCAUAAAUAGCACGUGGCUUGUGUCCCGCCUAACGGGGUGGCAAUGAAGGCCGGAGCUAGGCUGAUUAAGAAAAGAAAAAGCAAAAAGCAAGAAGAAAGAGCCAGUUGAUGUAGCUACUAAAACAAUGCGAGGCUAGGAGUUGUAGCCUGUGCUGUGAUGAACAUGGCAAAGUCCCUGACAGGAAAAAGGAAGCUUGUUUGGCGGAGUGGUGCUGGUGGAGGGACAAAGGUCUCAGCUCAGUCACGUCGGUUGUCAGAAGCCACAUGGAGAUCUGGACUCUUCUGGGAUGAUGUUUAAGCUUCCACUGAUCCGAUUAACUGUGGCUUUGCUUGCUUGUGGUAUAGUUUAGGAAAGCGGAGUGUAUUCUGCAGCUUCCUGCAGUACAUCCCAACACGGUGGUCAGUGCUUCAGAGCCAUGUGGUGAGGCAAGUCGAUGAUUCCUCCUGGGCUGGGAGUGCUCCCACUGAUCUACCCGGAGAACCGUUUGGUGAACAGACAGCAAGUAUCCGCUCCGUGGGCUGGGCUGUGUGACACGAUGCAUACCGUUGCUCUGCACUGCCUUUUUCCAGGUCAGAGCUGAUCAUACAGCACAGCACUUAGCAAGAGCAGGGCCUGAAUUUUGGAGACACCUGUUGAAGUGACAACCUGUGGCCAAGUCACAGCUUUGGCAUAUGUAUGAAAGUUUCCAUGAAGAGGUUUUCAGUCCUCAGUGUCUUCAAGGUCAUCACCCAUGAUACAAAAUUAUAUUGUUAGACUACUACCUUUUCUCCAGCUCGUUUUGAAUGAGGUCUGUAACUCAAAGGUCUGUAACACAAGUGUACUUCCUCUACUC